AGUGAACGCUGGCGGUAGGCCUAACACAUGCAAGUCGAACGGCAGCACAGUAAGAGCUUGCUCUUACGGGUGGCGAGUGGCGGACGAGUGAGGAAUACAUCGGAAUCUACUUUUUCGUGGGGGAUAACGUAGGGAAACUUACGCUAAUACCGCAUACGACCUACGGGUGAAAGCAGGGGAUCUUCGGACCUUGCGCGAUUGAAUGAGCCGAUGUCGGAUUAGUUAGUUGGCGGGGUAAAGGCCCACCAAGGCGACGAUCCGUAGCUGGUCUGAGAGGAUGAUCAGCCACACUGGAACUGAGACACGGUCCAGACUCCUACGGGAGGCAGCAGUGGGGAAUAUUGGACAAUGGGCGCAAGCCUGAUCCAGCCAUACCGCGUGGGUGAAGAAGGCCUUCGGGUUGUAAAGCCCUUUUGUUGGGAAAGAAAAGCAGCAGGUUAAUACCCCGCUGUUCUGACGGUACCCAAAGAAUAAGCACCGGCUAACUUCGUG
Molecule: ribosomal RNA, 492 nt
Filed under: uncultured bacterium
Lineage: Bacteria
Description: partial 16S ribosomal RNA
Rfam family: Bacterial small subunit ribosomal RNA
Source: RNAcentral